GAAAGAAAUCAUAAUAUAUUGGUUAUGAUUGAAGGAAGUUCACUUGGGGAAAUUGAUAGUCUUCGACACCAUUAUUGUCCUCCUGUUUCAAGGUUAGUUUUAUGCCUAGUAUCCCCGUACAAUCAAGUGUGUGAAGUGUUCAAGAGAGAGCUUAGUAUGACACUGGAUAAG
Non-coding RNA from Benincasa hispida (wax gourd), 171 nucleotides. NCBI's taxonomy places the organism in Eukaryota, Viridiplantae, Streptophyta, Magnoliopsida, Cucurbitales, Cucurbitaceae. The record is from RefSeq and is a predicted model, not a curated record.